RNAcentral lists this unclassified non-coding RNA (233 nucleotides) under Hevea brasiliensis (rubber tree). The record is from RNAcentral. Lineage: Eukaryota; Viridiplantae; Streptophyta; Magnoliopsida; Malpighiales; Euphorbiaceae.
CAUUACCUUCAAACCCCCAAAUACCAGCGUCAGAAUUGAAUACAUUAUACAAUCUCUCUUCUGGGUUGAGGCAAUACCACGACGGGAGGCCGAGAGGACCCCUCUGGAGAGGCAAGAAGCUGAUAGGAAAAGAAGCCCUUUUUGUAACUCAAGGAUUAAAGAGGCUUAAAGAUGACGAAGAGAAGCUUCAGAAAUUCAUAAAAACCCAUGUUUUGAGGCUGUUAAAAAUGGAC